This 4665-nucleotide long non-coding RNA is filed under the name Capra hircus (goat). RNAcentral describes it as "lncRNA (ENSCHIG00000002042.1)". The record is from RNAcentral. Lineage: Eukaryota; Metazoa; Chordata; Mammalia; Artiodactyla; Bovidae.
AUGUUUCAGGUGCACUGCAAAUUGAUUCAGUUAUACAUCUGUCUAUCUAGUCAUCGGCUACUUUUCCCCAUUCUUUUUCAUUGCAGCUUGUUACAAGAUACCGAAUCCAGGUCUCUGCCCUAUGCAGGAGGUCCUUGUUGUUUACCUGUUCGAGCCAGCUUGUUUGCCCGGAGGAAAGAAUUCAUUGAACAGCCACAGAUGACAUUCCAGAACAUCAGCCAACCACUUCCCAACAGGGUACCAUUGGGUCAUCACAAGGCCUGCCACCACCCCUGGCAGCGGGACUCCACAUACCUUCCCAUGGCAGAGCCCCUCAGGAACAACUAUGAAACAGACUUCAAGGGAAAUUUAUGGCUUCCGUUCUCUUUGAUUGAAACCAAAGAGAAAAAAUUUGGGGUCAAAAAGAGCCCUAUUCCCCUGUAGUGCUGCAAGGAGAUGUGUCUGUGGACAUUCUGCCCUGAUCAAGCUUCUUCAGCUUUCACUGGGCUGGCUCCUGCCCUCUUGCAGCAGGCAGCUUUAACUCUUCAGUCCAGGGGAAGUUGGCGUUCAGACCUCCCAAAGAUGCCCCCACAGGCAGCAGCCUUGUUAUGUGGAAAGCCCCUGAGAAGAGGUCCUUUCUUCCUCGCCACCCUUGAAGUGUGGUUUCACCAGUGUUUCUCAGCCUCUCGUGUACAAACAAGUUCCCAGGACCUUGCUGAGACGUGGAUUUGGGUUCACAAGUCUGCGUGGGGACUGCGUUUCUGUGUGGCUGACAAAUUCUUGGGUAAUGCCAAAGGCGCUGGUCCAGGGACCACAUUUUAAUGAGAAAGAACUACAGUCCCCAAAUCAGAGUUUUCCUCAGAUUUAUUAAGACCCCAAUUAGGGGCCAGUUCUUGUAAGAGUGGGUGCCCAAACUACCUUGAUGUAUUUGGGGUUCCUGUUCUAAUACAAGAUCCAGACCAUCCAGUUUCGCUGAACUUGGCCUCCUUGUGGGUUUGAUCCUUGGAUCAGGAAAAUCCCCUGGAGGAACGCAUGGUGAUCCACUCCAAUAUUGUUGUUUGGAAAAUCCCAUGGACAGAGGAGCCUGGCAGGCUACAGUCUGUAGAGUCACAAAGAGUCUGACAUGACUGCAGUGACGUAGCACACACAUAGCACAUGACUUCUUUGUGAGAUGGAGAGACUGGGCUGGCUGAAAUCUCUUGGGUCCGUCUCAGAGACCAAAUGUGGUACUCCUCUUCCUUUUGGAUACAGGACAAAUCCGGAAAGAUGCAGAAGAGCAUCUAUUCAAAUCAGCUGAUUUGACUCUCCUAUGAUUGAGGGCAGGAGGAGAAGGGGGAGACAGAGGAUGAGAUGGUAGGAUGGCAUCACUGACUCAAUGGACAUGAGUUUGAGCAAACUCUGGGAGAUAGUGAAGGACAGGGAAGCCUGGUGUGCUGCAGUCCAUGGGUUCAAAAAGAGUCAGACACGCCUUAAUGAAUGAACAGCAAUGAGUCCAAGGAUCAAAGUGAUUCAGUUGUAUUAGGAAAAAUGUGUAAUAGAAUUUGAACUGAUCAUCAGAAAUAGUUUAAUAUGCCAACUAGAAGUUCAAUGACUCAUCUACAAACAACUAGAGAUUCUGGCUGUAUAUCAUAAUUAUCAGAAAAUACAAUAUACUGAAUGUUUUGGAAUUCUCUAAGAAAGUAUGUUUUCAUUUCCUUUUGUUAUGUAGACAGCAUAACAAAUCCAGUUAGGUUUUCUCAGAUGAAACUGUGCUUGGUUUUCUGUUCUCUUAUACUUCUGAAACUUGUUGGUGUUUUAAUGGUUAUAUCUUAAUAGCAGUGUUUCUUUCAUGGAAACCUUUGAAUGGCAACUUGCUCUUUUCUGAGAUAUUUUAAAAGGAAAUUGUAUUUGAACGGUCUAAAAGAGAAUCCAGGGCUUUCUAGGGGAUUUUGUCACUUGGGUUUUCUUUACUUAUGAUCUCAUUGUCGAGGAUUGUAUAAGCUUCCAAGAAUCAAAGGGAUAGCAGUUUCUAAUAAGUCCAUGCAAACAUAAGAUUAUUUUCAUUUUUAUUUGUAUUAAAUACAUUCACUCCACUGGCACCAACCUCAUAGUGAAUCACAAUGAGUCUACUUGCCCUCCUCAAAAAUAGCAAUAGAAUUAUAACAAAAUCAGUUUCCUUUGGAAAAUGAGGUAGCCAGUUUUCCAAUAGUGCUUGCUUACCAUGGAAAAUUCCUUGAUUGUCAAUGAUAAACUAGUAUGUAAAAAAUGUGGGUGACAAUGGUGUCAUCCUCGCAUGGUGAGGGGCACGUGAGGUCACAACAGUUAUGGUCUUAAGAGUAGCACAUGGCGCAUACCAAUGUUCAGUAAGUAUUACAUAGUUCUAUUACUCUUGACUCUCAUCUCAUUGUAUCUAACAAACAACACUGAAGUAGCAUAAGCUCUCCCCAGCUUCUUCUGCACAUGUUGUUAUAUGUACAUAUAGAUAUGUCCUUUUAUAAAUGAUGGUUUCAAAUGCUGUAGAAAAAUCUGACAGUCCAGUAGAAGGAAACAACGCAAAUAUUCUCUGAAAGUCUAUAAUGACUAUAAUUUGAAUGUUCAAUUCAAACAGAUAACCAUUCUCAUGAUUCUCUGUUAAUAGAAUGUUGGUAUAGAUGAUCAUGAUUUAGAAAGAAACUGUUUUCCAAAUAAAAAAUUGUGGAGGAAAAAAAAAAAGAAACAAAAAACCUGAGCCUAUGAAACAGGUGCCAGCAAAUGUAUUUAUUUUCAUGAGAAAUGCAUGCGUGUUUUUCUAUCGGCUAUAUUAAUUAAAAUUAAACAUUCAUCUUGUCCUAUUGCAUCUCUGGUUGUGCUAUAAAGCACUAACACUGAACUGGUGUUUGCACAGAACAAAGAAAAAGGGAAACUUAGCAAAUAGUUGGUUUAGUGAAGUCAAUCCACCAUUCCAAAUCACCAGGGCCACACAUUCAGUCGGAUGGAUAGUUCUCACUUGCUGAGACCAUGAAGCUGUUCUUCUACGUUUUGUGCAAAUGUGAAGGGGGAUGCACAAGCAAAGUCUCCAUGAUUUUGUGGGGCUUUUCUGCAGUUUAUUUAUGCAAGGUGAAGCUCAGAAGAUUUUCCCUGUACAUGAACACUUCAAGAUGGUUAUCAGGUUUGCCAAAGAUGCCCCAAAGCCGUGGCAGAAUAACCUGGGGGUGACUCACCGACAACAGACAGGAGUAGCAUCCGAGGCAUAUGAUUAAGCCCCAGGACUCAACGGUUGGAUAUCUUGGGUUCAUACUCCAGCUCAACCCUUGCUGAACUACUUGACUUUGAGAGACUCACUCACCUCUCUGUGCCUCGUAUGAUGUGGUCAUCUUGGCAACAGGGAUCUUGGUACCUGAUGGCAAAGGCCAUUGUGGGAAGGAGCAAGAUCACGUACACAGGGUGACUAGAGCCCUGCCUUCUGCCCAGUGACCAAGACGCGCUAGUGGUGAUUAGAAAGUGAAUAAUGUUUCCUGUAACUGCCAUGGAGACUAUUAGUCAUAGAAUGCACUUUUAUGAGUAGCUUCCCAUUUGGCUAAAGCUGAUUAUGAACUUCUUACACUUUGAUUCUGUAAUCUUGGCAAACAUGUAGCUGAUCUGAAGCUUCUAAGUCAGGUUAAGAUCUCAGAUUCUAGAGGGAGCUUAGUAAUGGGUCAGGUACUAGCAGAAAGGGCUGGGAAGACCAGGACUUUUAGAUAAUUCCAGAUGUUUUGGUAUAAAAUAAUUCUUAAACUCUGGGUUUAACUUUGUCAACAUAACCUCAGUAGUAAGCAUGUGACCAACUGUUUUCAUCAGCUCUGGCUGUCAUAACAGAAUAGCCGCAGAAUAGGUGGCUUAAACAACAAGUUUUCUUAUAGUUCUGGAGGCUGCAAGUCCAAGGUGAAGGCGCUGGCAGAUUCAGUAUCUGGUGAGGACCCCCUUCCUGCCUUGUGGAUGGCUCUCUUCUCGCUGUGUACUCAAGCGACCUUUGAUUUAGGAUUGUCUUACAAAGAAAUCGCUGAUAUUUCUUAAUAAAAAUUGCUGAAAUUUUGAAAUGUGGUUCUAAUAGGCAUGCAAAUCAGAUAAAGAUCAGAGGCUAUUCUAAUUCGGGGAAAUUCCAGAUGCAGGCACACGUCAGAGAUAAUUUGGGCUCAGUGCCAGACCGCUGAAAUGAAGUGAAUAUCACAAUAAAGCAAGCCACAAAGUUUUCUGGUUUCCAAGUGCAUGUAAAACUCAUGGUUAUACUAUACUAUCAUUGAUUAAGUGUGCAGCAGCAUUAUGUCUGAAAAAACAAUGUACGUACCUUAAAAGUACUCUUGCUAGAGAUGCCAAAGCAAUUGCAACAGUAACAUCAAAGGUCAUCGAUCACAAAUCACCAUAGCAAAUAUAAGAAUUAUGGAAAACAUGGCAAAUAGUGCACGUAUUACCAAAAUGUGACCCAGAGACAGGAAGCAAGCAACCACUGUUGGAAAAAAUGGCAGCAAUGGACUUGCUCCACACAGGGUUGCUGCAUACCUCCAGUUUGCAAAAUACUUGGGUCUACAAAGCACAGUAAAGGAAGUGCCCUAAACAAGGUGUGGCUGGCCUGGACAGUACACACUGGGAGGGGUUGGGGUGCUGUUUCUGACCAUUGAUAAAGUCGUUUCCAAGGCUGCUUGGAGCAGAAGCUAUGGGAUCACAUGGCACGGGUGAUGGGAGUGACUGAGG